AGGAUUCCCUCAGUAACGGCGAGCGAAGCGGGAACAGCUCAAAUUUGAAAUCUCCGGUGCCUGCACCGGCGAAUUGUAGUCUGUAGGGCCAGUUUCGCCCGAGACGGUGUCCCCAAAGUCGUCCUGGAAAGGCGGGCCAAAGAGGGUGAGAGCCCCGUGCGUGGGGGCGCCGUCGGAGGUAAGAUCUGUGCCCGAAGAGUCGGGUUGUUUGGGAUUGCAGCCCAAAAUGGGUGGUAAACUCCAUCUAAAGCUAAAUACUGGCACGAGACCGAUAGCGAACAAGUACCGUGAGGGAAAGAUGAAAAGCACUUUGAAAAGAGAGUCAAACAGUACGUGAAACCGUCAGUAGGGAAACGAACGAGGUUGGUGCAGUGAUCGCGCAGGUUCAAGCCCUGCCGAAGGUGCCGAUGCGGUGACGGAGAUCGUCCUGCGUCGUCGACCGGAGGCAGUGCCGUACUCCUCGUGAUUGCGUACCAGCAGCGGUUGGACCGGGGCCACAAGGCAGUAGCGGAAGGUGAGUCGAUGGGAGCCAGUCUUGCAUUGACAGCUUAUAGCCCUGCUGUACGGUGCUCCGGUGUGACCGAGGAAGCUGGGCAGCCCUUGCCCAUUGUGGUGCACGCUGUACGGCGGGGCCUCCCGACACGAUUGAACCGUGCGGUGUGGACUGCAUGCAGUGCUCACCGUUGCUGUGAUCUCGUGUCGGUGAGUGCCACUAGUGUGCCAGUGCUGCUGGUGUUCGGAUGGCCUCGUCCGACCCGUCUUGAAACACGGACCAAGGAGUGCAACAUGUGCGCGAGCCCUUUGGCGAGUAAACCAGAAGGCGCAAUGAAAGUGAAGGCACGGUCGCCGUGCUGAGGUGAGAGCUGUCCCACGGCAGCGCAUCAUCGACCGAUCCCGUUGCGCCCCGUGGUGCAAAGGGAUUCGAGUAAGAGUGUACCUGUUGCGACCCGAAAGAUGGUGAACUAUGCCUGAAUAGGGUGAAGCCAGAGGAAACUCUGGUGGAGGCCCGUAGCGAUUCUGACGUGCAAAUCGAUCGUCAAAUUUGGGUAUAGGGGCGAAAGA
This 1062-nucleotide ribosomal RNA is filed under the name Dictyoceratida sp. 2 JV-2020. RNAcentral describes it as "partial large subunit ribosomal RNA". It matches the Rfam family "Eukaryotic large subunit ribosomal RNA", at positions 71 to 930 of the family's 3401-position model. The record is from RNAcentral. Lineage: Eukaryota; Metazoa; Porifera; Demospongiae; Dictyoceratida.